This 857-nucleotide long non-coding RNA is filed under the name Betta splendens (Siamese fighting fish). RNAcentral describes it as "lncRNA (ENSBSLG00000007340.1)". Lineage: Eukaryota; Metazoa; Chordata; Actinopteri; Anabantiformes; Osphronemidae. The record is from RNAcentral.
GCUGAUCCCCGCUGAGUAUGUUUGCUAUCAACGCAACCCGGUGUGUAGAGUACUGUAUUUGUUAGUAGCUGCAGUAUGAUUAAAAAAUGCAUUGUGCUUUAGACUAAUGGUGAAUAAGCAAAAAUGCUUGUCAAUUCGGAUGUAAUAUUGGUAUAUUUACCGUAAAUGGCGUAUUUGUGUUUUUUUUUUCUCCAACACAAUGUCUGGAGUCCCAGUGUUGGAUACGCUCUUCCUACUUAUGUCCUUGAGCGAGACACUGAGCCUUCACUUCCAGUGUGUUUUCCUGCUCCCUCAGGUCACACAAGGAAGCAGGGACAGAGAAUGUGGGCAUAUGAGAGAAGGAAAGGAAAUGAAGGAGAACACACGAGGAAACCGACACAAAGCCACAGUGAGAAGUAGGGAGACGAUGGGGAGGUGCCACGUCAUGCCUGAAGCUCCAGAGCAUUCACAGUCUCGCUCAAGGAUGCUUCAACCAGGACCUACGCCCGCUGUCAAGUGGCUUGAACCCAGGUCUUCCAGACGAAGGUCGCUCCACUUAAUCACUGCCUCUGCAGAAUGGGAGCGUCAUGAUAUAUGUAACCAGACCACUGACAGAGAUGGUUGGGUGAGCAGAGGGAAGGAGGAAAUCCACCUGCAGAUACUCCUGCACUGCUAAUUAUUUUCAACAGCCCUCAGAGAACAGAAAGAGAGAAAGCAGGACCCUGAUGAGCCACCGGCUGCAAGCCAAUUCCCAGGAUGACACGCAUGUUUGUGCCACACCGAUUGCCGUUUGCUUUUCAUCUGAGGGCUAGAAUGAGCUGUUGACCCCCAACCCGUGCUCUCCUCUUCUGCCUUUCUCCCUUUUCAGCAUUUCUCCC